CUGCAAACACGAAAGUGGACGUAUAGGGUGUGACGCCUGCCCGGUGCUGGAAGGUUAAUUGAUGGGGUCAGCCGCAAGGCGAAGCUCUUGAUCGAAGCCCCAGUAAACGGCGGCCGUAACUAUAACGGUCCUAAGGUAGCGAAAUUCCUUGUCGGGUAAGUUCCGACCUGCACGAAUGGCGUAACGACAGCGGCGCUGUCUCCACCCGAGACUCAGUGAAAUUGAAAUCGCUGUGAAGAUGCAGCGUUCCCGUGGCAAGACGGAAAGACCCCGUGAACCUUUACUAUAGCUUUACACUGAACGUUGAGUUCGUCUGUGUAGGAUAGGUGGGAGGCUAUGAAACUGUGGCGCUAGCUGCAGUGGAGCCAUCCUUGAAAUACCACCCUGUCGUGCUUGACGUUCUAACCUGGGCCCAUUAUCUGGGUCGGGGACCGUGUAUGGUGGGUAGUUUGACUGGGGCGGUCUCCUCCUAAAGAGUAACGGAGGAGCUCGAAGGUACGCUCAGCGCGGUCGGACAUCGCGCACUGUGUGCAAAGGCAUAAGCGUGCUUGACUGCAAGAUCGACGGAUCAAGCAGGUAGGAAACUAGGACUUAGUGAUCCGGUGGUUCUGUAUGGAAGGGCCAUCGCUCAACGGAUAAAAGGUACUCCGGGGAUAACAGGCUGAUACCGCCCAAGAGUUCAUAUCGACGGCGGUGUUUGGCACCUCGAUGUCGGCUCAUCACAUCCUGGGGCUGUAGUCGGUCCCAAGGGUAUGGCUGUUCGCCAUUUAAAGUGGUACGCGAGCUGGGUUCAGAACGUCGUGAGACAGUUCGGUCCCUAUCUGCCAUGGGCGUUGGAGAUUUGAGAGGGGCUGCUCCUAGUACGAGAGGACCGGAGUGGACGAACCUCUGGUGUUCCGGUUGUCACGCCAGUGGCAUUGCCGGGUAGCUAUGUUCGGAAGCGAUAACCGCUGAAAGCAUCUAAGCGGGAAGCGCGCCUCAAGAUGAGAUCUCCCGGGGCACAAGCCCCCUGAAGGAACCAUGUAGACUACGUGGUUGAUAGGUCAGGUGUGUAAGUACAGCAAUGUAUUGAGCUAACUGAUACUAAUGAUCCGAGAGGCUUGACCAU
RNAcentral lists this ribosomal RNA (1108 nucleotides) under Planctomonas deserti. RNAcentral's name for it is "bacterial LSU rRNA". It matches the Rfam family "Bacterial large subunit ribosomal RNA", at positions 1823 to 2925 of the family's 2925-position model. Lineage: Bacteria; Bacillati; Actinomycetota; Actinomycetes; Micrococcales; Microbacteriaceae. The record is from RNAcentral.